CUUAAGCAUAUCAAUAAGCGGAGGAAAAGAAACCAACAGGGAUUGCCCUAGUAACGGCGAGUGAAGCGGCAACAGCUCAAAUUUGAAAUCUGGCGCAAGCCCGAGUUGUAAUUUGUAGAGGAUGCUUCUAGGUAGCGACCGGUCUAAGUUCCUUGGAACAGGACGUCAUAGAGGGUGAGAAUCCCGUAUGUGACCGGCCCGCACCUUCUACGUAGCUCCUUCGACGAGUCGAGUUGUUUGGGAAUGCAGCUCUAAAUGGGAGGUAAAUUUCUUCUAAAGCUAAAUACCGGCCAGAGACCGAUAGCGCACAAGUAGAGUGAUCGAAAGAUGAAAAGCACUUUGGAAAGAGAGUUAAAAAGCACGUGAAAUUGUUGAAAGGGAAGCGCUCACAACCAGACUUCUGGGCGGUGUUCCGCCGGUCUUCUGACCGGUCUACUCGCCGUCCCGAGGCCAACAUCAUCUGGGACCGCUGGAUAAGACCUCAGGAAUGUAGCUCCCCUCGGGGAGUGUUAUAGCCUGUGGUGAUGCAGCGCGUCUCGGGUGAGGUCCGCGCUUCGGCAAGGAUGUUGGCGUAAUGGUUGUCAGCGGCCCGUCUUGAAACACGGACCAAGGAGUCUAACAUCUAUGCGAGUGUUCGGGUGUCAAACCCCUACGCGUAAUGAAAGUGAACGGAGGUGGGAAGCGCAAGCUGCACCAUCGACCGAUCCUGAUGUCCUCGGAUGGAUUUGAGUAAGAGCAUAGCUGUUGGGACCCGAAAGAUGGUGAACUAUGCCUGAAUAGGGUGAAGCCAGAGGAAACUCUGGUGGAGGCUCGCAGCGGUUCUGACGUGCAAAUCGAUCGUCAAAUUUGGGUAUAGGGGCGAAAGACUAAUCGAACCAU
RNAcentral lists this ribosomal RNA (879 nucleotides) under Ramularia sp. CPC 11501. RNAcentral describes it as "eukaryotic LSU rRNA". It matches the Rfam family "Eukaryotic large subunit ribosomal RNA", at positions 33 to 943 of the family's 3401-position model. The record is from RNAcentral. Lineage: Eukaryota; Fungi; Ascomycota; Dothideomycetes; Mycosphaerellales; Mycosphaerellaceae.